This 282-nucleotide unclassified non-coding RNA is filed under the name uncultured fungus. Its description in RNAcentral is "partial contains small subunit ribosomal RNA, internal transcribed spacer 1, and 5.8S ribosomal RNA". The stretch from base 1 to 73 matches the Rfam family "Eukaryotic small subunit ribosomal RNA", at positions 1759 to 1831 of the family's 1831-position model. Lineage: Eukaryota; Fungi. The record is from RNAcentral.
CCAAACUUGGUCAUUUAGAGGAAGUAAAAGUCGUAACAAGGUUUCCGUAGGUGAACCUGCGGAAGGAUCAUUACCGAGUGAGGGCCCUCUGGGUCCAACCUCCCACCAUCUGUGAACCUUUAACCGUUGCUUUGGCGGACCGGCUCUGCCCCCCGGCGUUGUCGGGGCGCGUCCGCCAGAGGACCUUUAAACCCGUUUAACCUUGAAAUCAGAGUCCAAUGAAAAUAAAUCAAAACUUUCAACAACGGAUCUCUUGGUUCUGGCAUCGAUGAAGAACGCAGC